Molecule: long non-coding RNA, 327 nt
Organism: Homo sapiens (human)
Lineage: Eukaryota; Metazoa; Chordata; Mammalia; Primates; Hominidae
Source: Ensembl
GUGUCUGAGCCAGUCAGAGCCUUGGCCUUGCUCUGACCCACAGCCACAAUCCAACAUGAAGAUGGUUCAAGAGACCUUAGACCAGGGAAGUGCCUUCCAAAGCCAAAUACAGGAGCAUGAGAGAAGCUGUGUCGUGAUGGACCGCACCCAUCCUUCCCACUCUGUGUUCUCUUUGUCCUGACUUUAUUGAUGGGGUGAGGUGGACUUCUUGUAAAUCCAUCAGAAAGAUAUCUGAAGCAUACCUCGGGGUAUAUAUUAAAUCUAAGAACCUGAUGUCCUUUUACUGCUGCCCCUGAAUAAAAAUUAUGCAUCUGUUUCCGCACUUGA